CUGUAAUGCCCUCCUUGGGUGUUUCCUCCCUAGACUAGCCGCGCUUCGGCGCGGUUUUUUUUGCCUGAG
Molecule: non-coding RNA, 69 nt
Organism: Rhizobium sp.
Lineage: Bacteria; Pseudomonadati; Pseudomonadota; Alphaproteobacteria; Hyphomicrobiales; Rhizobiaceae
Source: Rfam